AAGGUCAGAUAUAGAAACUGACUAAAAUGUAAGUCUUCUGAAUCAAAGUCUAUUACCUCUACCAUACUAUAUGCCAUACUGCUUCUGCCCCUGUGUACUACACAAAGGUAAAUGAAUUACCUAAUACUUAAACCAACCCAUGUAAGUAGCUGAACUAGAUCAUUUAUGUUUUUGAUUUUGUUUGGCUUGCUUCCCUUUCAUCUGCACCAUGUGAACAUCGUAUGGGUGUUUAAUAAAUAUCCCUAUCAAAAUUCUGAAGCUACAAAAGUAUACAGUGCAUCAUUGUUUACUAAAAGUAUAUUUGAAUAUAAACAGACUGUUAGGGAUGGUUAAGACAGAUAAUAAUAGACUGAUUAAAGGAUGGGUGAUCAUUCCCCAUGCUGCGUAAGAUUAAAUAUGCUAAUCAGAUUUUGGAUUUAGAAAACCCAGAAAAAUCCACAGGAGAACAAGGAAAGGUACUCAAAUCUUCAGUUUCUUGCUUUUCAAAAAUACAUACUGCAUUUUAUCCAUGUCUCCUUCAGAGCUGAACAAUUUAUGAAGGCUUUACCCAGGGCAGGGAAAGCUGAAGACCCACAGCUCCCCAAAAUGAGGAGAAAAAGAAGAAAAGCCUGUAAGAAAUGGGAAAUCUUGAAUACCACACUAUGUGUAUCUCAGCCUGCUGGUCAAGCAUGCCAAGAAAAUAUCAAAGCUCUUGCAAAGGAAGUCAAAGGAGACACCUUGGAGCCUGUGUUUCAUCAGGCUGGGGCAUUAGGGAAAUCUAAGGAAAAUGGAGAUGAGAGUACGUCUGCUUCUGUGAAUGAAAAGCAGAAUUCUUCUUUUCUCCCUAAAGAUAAGAAACAGCAUCCAUCUGACAGCAAAAUACCUAGGAAGAAGGGAAAUGAUGAUCCUCCUUUGGCUGCCUCUCAUUAACUGGAGAAAGUCUUAUCUAUGAUCAUAUUUAAUGCCUAUGGAGAAUCAUUACGAGAAAACAUUGUAUUACAGAAUCUCCCAGGCACAACAGAAGUCUUUAACCCAGCAAAAGGCAAAUUUAUUACGGAAGUGAAAUGUGGGGCUUUCAAUGUGCAAAUAGAAAUCAAGAAAAACUUUUUCUGUAAACCAGGGAUACAGUUCCCAACAAAAAAAGAGACGUCCAAAAUGUGGCCAGCGUUUCUCUAUCAUACCCAUUCAGAGAUGCUACACUUCAAGGAGCUGCUUUCCUAAACAUAGGGAUAUACUGUUGGAAGAACUAAAACCUAAGGUGCCCUGUAAAUAUGAGGGAGAAAUCACCAGAGCCAAGAGCCCCUUGUUGAAAGUAAGCAUUGAAAGAAAAGAAAGUUAACUACAUGAGUAAGACACAGAAUAUAUUAAUUAAUAUAACUCAUUCCAAAAGAAAGGAAAAAGUAACUAAGUACAGAAAUAUUUCCUCCAAUCACACCACCAAAGAACCUUUCAGGUUUCCAUCACAGUCUAGUAUUAGGCACCCUGAAAUGUGGCAGCAUGAAAACAAGCAUCAGAGUUCAGAUUGUUUGUGUGUCUCUCCUCCUGGUGUGUGUGCUGCCCAGGAGGAGAAUUGUUUGUGUGUCUCUCCUCCUGGUGUCUGUGCUGCCCAGGAGAAGAAUGUUGAUACAGCUGUGAUUUCUCUAACCUUAACUCUGGAGAGAAAGAAAAAUAAGCCUGACACACUGUCUACAGUCUUAGAUGAUUGUGAGGUAGAAUCUGCUAUCUCUCGGCAGAAGGUCUUUAAAAUUAGUCAGAACACCCCCAGAAAGAAACAUUUCUCCGAGUCUAAGACUCUUCUCAAAAAAUUCUUCCUACUUCAUGUAAUACCCCAAAGAUCACAAGUUUAAGUAAUGCAGAUUUAAGUAAAAUACCUUUUGAGGAUUCUAAGGAUAUGGAAAAAGAGAAAAAUCACCUUUGAUAUCCUAGGAAAUAUCACAUCAGACACACAUACAGCAAAGCACAGAAGGAAUAAAUUAUUUGCCAAGUACCAUUACUGACAUCAUUCCAGUUCAAGAUGGCAAAGGCUUCAACUUCAGUUCUUCAUCUUCUGUGAGCAUGCAGCUCAUAGGAACAAAGACAGCCAACAUCUACUGCAAAGGAAGCAAGACUCCACCUGCAGAAUGCUGUGAGAAGUCAAAUUCUGUAUCUUUCCCUUCCAGUCAAACUACUCUGCAGUCUUGCACCUCAUUCAGCCCACCUCACUGGGCCACCAGACAUUCGAAACCUAAAGAAAACCCUGGGAGUACAUUUUCUUUUCAUCAUUGUGCUGUGUGUGUGGUAGAUUAUGAGAAGGGGCACGUUGAUGUGACUGACAGAGACUUUAACAAAGCCAUUUUACAUAAUGACUCUCCUGCAAAAGCACAGCAACACCGGAAAGGAAGAUUACACCAUGUCUAAAUCUCAGGUCCUGCCUCUUGCAGCAGCCUAGCAGCUAAGAGCACACUCAAUAGUAUUAGCCACAGCAUGAUGGCAUGGAAUCAGAGUCUCAGGCAAGUCAUCCAGAGAUAGCAGCCCCUAGCAAAAAAAAUAAGUGCUAGUUAUGACCUUCAUAACUGAUGAGUUGGAACAAAAAGUAAUUACUCAAGAUGAUAAAGAAACAGUUUAUUCUAAUUGUACUAUGGGAAUGAAAAACCCUAAACAGUCACCCAGCUCUCUGGAAAAUUUUGAAAAAGACAAAUGCCAGAUAAUACCAGUGGUGAAGAAAGCAUGCCACAGAGAUUCUGAAGACCUGUUAAAUGAGAAUCAUGACGAAGUCGGUUUUCAAAUGUAUUUUUCAGCAAACACUGCUGAGUCCAACUGUGCAGUGUGCUUCAGAUAAUCUAUUUCUUAUUGAGAAAACACUGACGAACGAUGUGGACCUACAUGGUAAGCAAGAUAAAAAAAAGCAUUGGACUAACUAGUUUUAAACAGUAGCCAACACGGUGCCAAAGGAUUGCAUCAACAAGGCCAAAUUCUGAAGAAGAUAAGAACAAAAGUGACUCAAAGGAAAAUUACUAUCAUCAAAUACACAUGUUGAUGUCACCUCAGAAGCAAGCUUUGAAAGGUAUGGUGGGCUAUACAGAAUCAUUACCUUGCAUUAUUUUUACAUAUUUUAGCUUUAGAAAGUCUUAAGAUGAGGGCUUUUUUAAUUGCUUGGGAUAUUUUCUUUAUUGCUAAAGAUAUAUUGUAUAUUUUAGAGUUAGAUGAACACAGGCAAGCAUAUAUCAGCCUGUUUCUUUACAUUAUCACCCACUCCACCCAUAAAUAGUGCAUCUCCAAGCAUGCAGUUUAAUGUAAAGUAAAAAAAAAAAAAAAUCAAUUUCUCUUCAAAAGGUUGAUAUAUUGCCAAAUCAACUUUUUAGGAAAUGUUAGCCUUUUGCCACUCUUAAAUAAUCCACCAUUUCUUUCUUUCUUGCAAGCUAAGCAUGUUCAGAAGAAUAGGAAGAAUAUGUUUGUAAUAAAACAUAUUUUCAAACCUUGCUGUGGUGUUGCAGAAGCAUUGUACGUAUGUCUCGAGAGGCCAUGUGGAAUAGUAAUUAAAACAAAGGACAAAAAACAGAAACGACCAUGCCUAAUCCUCAUUGAGCCACCAUGGGGCCUCUAACCUCCAGCAGACCUCUGACCUCCCUUGUGCAUUACUUGGACCAGAUCAAACUGUUGAUAGAACCCAGAAGCUCUCCAGACCUCAAGAAGGGCUAAGAUGGAAGUUCUUUCCUAAGUACAUAAUUCUGCCUGUCUGCUUUCAAUCUUGGAUCACCACUAUAUCAUUUUGGUUACUUCACAGAAGGCCCUUGUUUUUUUCAAUGAGUCCAAAUUAUUUUAUAUUUAAUGUUAGCAUUAUUCCAUAUUAUAAAUUAAAUUACAUUUUGAAUGAGUAAAAACUGUCUUCCAAACUGCUGGCAAUAAUCCUAAUAGCCUCAGAAACGAUAUUUGGAAUGAUAAAACUUAAAGGAGAAGCUAUAGUUUCUUUGUAGUUCAAUCUCUAGAUUUUUAAAUAAAAUUAGUAAAAUUUAGAAGUAGAAAUAAAAUACAAAAAGGAUAAUCAAUUGCCUGUUAGAAUAAAAGGUGAAAUUUGCUUUGUAAAGAGUAAAUGCUCCAGAACAGUAUGGAAACUCUAUGGUCAUCUGCUUGAUAUGAACACCCUAAAGCAAGGACCGUCAGUCAUGGGGACAGCUUCCUAGUGCCAAUAUUCAUCCAGAAAUCAGGAUCAAUGACAUUAAUCCCAACAUUGGCUUCAGUCUACAGUUAUUUGGAACUGCAAGGGAACCUGCAAUAAGAACAAUUGUGCCUCCCAAAGGAAACACAUGCUCACCUGGAUGAAUAUCUCCCAAGUUGACUCUACUUCUAAAGCCAUGUUCCUCCCUGUACAUGCCUCUCCCAGCGAGGAACAUUUCUUAAGAAAAUAAAUAAUUCAAGUCAGAAUUCUCUCAAAGCUGAUCUUACACAUCAGUAGACUUUGAAACUGUCCCAUUUGGUAAAUAAUUUCGGCCACUGGUUCCCUGUGUUACUGAUUCAUCAAAAGGCUGUUCCUACAACUCUCUCCCUGGAUCCUUUUCCUUGAUCACUCUUCCAGCCACAUUGACCUUCCAGCCCAGAUCCACAUCAGGCCCUUUGCAUGGACUGCUCCCACCACCUGGACCAGUCUUCCCCUAUAUGUCUACAUGAUUCAUUCUCAUCUCCUUUAGAUUUUUGCUCACACAGUGUGUUCUCAGGAAGGUCUUCUCAGACCACUCUACUUAAAAUUGCAAUCUGUACCAUCUUCAUUACAACCCAAGCAAACGCCAUCCUUUUGUUCCAUUUAUACAUAGCACAUUUUUGCCUUCUAAUUUGUUAUAUAUUUUGCUGGUUUAUUUUGGUUUUGUUCCGUCUUCUUUCACUAGAAUGUAAGUUCCAGGAGGGCAUGAAUUUUUCCUGUUCUGAUCAUUGUAUAUUCAUAAAAUUAGAUAAUACCUGUCCUGUAGUAUAGUUGCUCAAAUAUUUAUUGAAUAAAAAAAUCAAUGCAGGGAAGUCACAUCAGGUUUCUUUGUAUAGUAUUCUGUUUAUAGACCAAAAUAAAUAACAGAAAAAAGGAAAUAGUUCAGCAGUUAUAU
Sapajus apella (tufted capuchin) is the source of this 5048-nucleotide long non-coding RNA. RefSeq lists it as uncharacterized. The transcript has 3 exons. Lineage: Eukaryota; Metazoa; Chordata; Mammalia; Primates; Cebidae. The record is from RefSeq and is a predicted model, not a curated record.